AUAUCUAUUUUAUUAUGUCCUAUUUUAUUUUUUGAGCUCAUACAGACCUAGGUAAAUGUUUUUGCUAUCAGUUCUAUUUUUUUAUUAACUGUGGGGCUUUUAAAUAUUGCAAUGGAGAUUUUACCUGUGGAAAACUAUAAGGCCUUUACUGUUGUGUUGUGUGUACACACUUGUGUUAUGUGUUGUAUGUCUGUAUGUAUAUAUUAUAUGAGGAGCGCUCAUGACAAAAAUGGAUCCAAAUAUAUUUUUCUUAUUCACAUGAUUGAAACAAUUUAAUUUAAAUUAGGUAACAAAAAUAGGAGAUUAACAGAUCUGUAUUUUUACUUUCAACUUUAUUUUUCAUUUUAUCUAAUUCUGUUCAGAAUAAUUCUUAGUGCCUGCUGGAAAGUUCUACAAUUUUUUUGUCAAUAUUGCCAGAAUUCCUAUCUUCAUCCCAGUGCCGGUGAAGACAAAGGUACAAGAAUUUCCAGUAUUACUGAAAAAACAAAUGUGACUACAGAAUUACAGCCACCAUCAUCACAACUGUUGCUGUUUCUGCUGCUGCUACUACAGCUUCUGCAAUGGCUAUCACACAAACUGUACAAACUGAUGCAUUAGUAUUUACUUCAAGAAGAAAAAGACAUAUUAAUGGAUUCCUCUGCUUUAAGCUGCUUCCAGAACU
Molecule: long non-coding RNA, 661 nt
Filed under: Marmota monax (woodchuck)
Lineage: Eukaryota; Metazoa; Chordata; Mammalia; Rodentia; Sciuridae
Source: RNAcentral